CUACGGGGCGCUGCAGUGGGGAAUAUUGGGCAAUGGGGGAAACCCUGACCCAGCGACGCCGCGUGAGGGAUGAAGGUUUUCGGAUCGUAAACCUCUGUUGUACGGGAAGAAGAAAGUGACGGUACCGUACGAGGAAGCCCCGGCAAACUACGUGCCAGCAGCCGCGGUAAUACGUAGGGGGCGAGCGUUGUUCGGAAUUACUGGGCGUAAAGGGUGCGCAGGCUGUUAUGCAAGUCUGCUGUGAAAUGCGUCGGCUUAACCGGCGAGUUGCGGCGGAUACUGUAUGACUGGAGUACUGGAGAGGAAAGUGGAAGUCCCGGUGUAGCGGUGAAAUGCGUAGAUAUCGGGAGGAACACCGGUGGCGAAGGCGGCUUUCUGGCCAGUUACUGACGCUCAUGCACGAAAGCUGGGGUAGCAAACCGGAUUAGAUACCCGAGUAGUC
This 442-nucleotide ribosomal RNA is filed under the name uncultured bacterium. RNAcentral's name for it is "partial 16S ribosomal RNA". It matches the Rfam family "Bacterial small subunit ribosomal RNA", at positions 339 to 795 of the family's 1533-position model. The record is from RNAcentral.